Molecule: ribosomal RNA, 914 nt
Filed under: uncultured archaeon
Lineage: Archaea
Description: bacterial SSU rRNA
Rfam family: Archaeal small subunit ribosomal RNA
Source: RNAcentral
UUCCGGUUGAUCCCGCCGGACCUGACUGCUAUCGGAUUGAUACUAAGCCAUGCGAGUCAUUGUAGCAAUACAAGGCAUACGGCUCAGUAACACGUAGUCAACCUAACUUAUGGACGGGGAUAACCUCGGGAAACUGAGAAUAAUACCCGAUAGGUCAUGAUGCCUGGAAUGGUUUAUGACUCAAAUAAUUUAUUGCCGUAGGAUGGGACUGCGAGCUAUCAGCUUGUUGGUGAGGUAAUGGCCCACCAAGGCUAUUACAGCUACGGGCUCUGAGAGGAGUAGCCCGGAGAUGGGUACUGAGACAAGGACCCAGGCCCUAUGGGGCGCAGCAGGCGAGAAAACUUUGCAAUGCGCGAAAGCUCGACAAGGUUAAUCUGAGUGGUUCCUGCUAAAGGAACCUUUUGUUAGUCGUAGAACCACUGAUGAAUAAGGGGUGGGCAAGUUCUGGUGUCAGCCGCCGCGGUAAAACCAGCACCUCAAGUGGUCAGGAUGAUUAUUGGGCCUAAAGCAUCCGUAGCCUGUUCUGUAAGUUUUCGGUUAAAUCCAUAAGCUCAACUUAUGGGCUGCCGAAAAUACUGCAGAACUAGGGAGUGGGAGAGGUAGACGGUACUCGGUAGGAAGGGGUAAAAUCCUUUGAUCUAUUGAUGACCACCUGUGGCGAAGGCGGUCUACCAGAACACGUUCGACGGUGAGGGAUGAAAGCUGGGGGAGCAAACCGGAUUAGAUACCCGGGUAGUCCCAGCUGUAAACGAUGCAAACUCGAUGAUGCGUUGGCUUGUUGCUAGCGCAGUGUCGCAGGGAAGCCGUUAAGUUUGCCGCCUGGGAAGUACGUACGCAAGUAUGAAACUUAAAGGAAUUGGCGGGGGAGCACCACAAGGGGUGAAGCCUGCGGUUCAAUUGGAUUCAACGCCGGG